Molecule: ribosomal RNA, 258 nt
Filed under: Triticum aestivum (bread wheat)
Lineage: Eukaryota; Viridiplantae; Streptophyta; Magnoliopsida; Poales; Poaceae
Description: partial small subunit ribosomal RNA
Source: RNAcentral
GAGAUUGUGGGGAAGAUAAUGAAGCAAGUGAAAGCCGAAUCUUUAGCAAAAUGGACUUAGAUGCAGGACAUGCUAGAGCAGGUCAGGCUAGAGAUGCAAGAGCUGCAGUCUUCCAGGGAUACACGGCAGUGCUGUGCAAUUGCUUCUGACAUCAGUCUUGGUUCCUUGAAUUCUGCGGUUAGUGGCCUCUACUUAUGCUUGCAUCAUCAGUGCCUAGAAAUGCUUCUUGGGUUCACAUGCCUGUUCUGUUUUGUUUGA